GGCAAUAUUAGAACACCAGAGCAGAUAUCAUUCUGAGGUAUCUGUUAGUGGAUGCAUUGGUGAAAAUGGUCACUCCAUGGUGAAAUGCCAUUGAACGCUGCCUUGUUGGACCACCGAAGUCUUCCUAAGCUGUCAUAUGCGGAUUUCAGCAACAUGUGCAAAGUUCUGUAAGCAGGAUGAGUUUCACGGGAGCAGGAUAUAUGUGGUCAAAAAGGGCCUGUACUCAAAAGGGCCCUGUGCUUGGUUUGAUGCUCUGUUAUCACUGUUUUGAAAAUCUUGACAACUUUAUCUUUGAACUUGUGUUUUAUAAGUGAAGUCCGAUGGGACAAAGGCGAGUGCACAUGAGCAGAGGAGAUCCCUGAAAUGCGUGUCUAAUAUGUACCUACUGUUCCUUGCCACUCCAUUUGCAUCUAGCAUUCAUAACACUCCGUGAACACAGAAGUCUGGUGGAUCCGUGACAUGUGGGAGUUCAGUGACACAAGGAGAAGCUUCGCGGCUGACCUUUAACUUCCCCACACCUCAGGGGACCUGAUGUGGAAGGUUCUUGCAAGCCUAUGCUCAGCGAGCUCUGGGAAAGGAAGGCCAGAUUUGGUCACAGUGAUCUCAGAGGACAGUGCCUGGACACGAUAUUCUGUGUUUGUGCUUGCAAUCUCAGAAACAGCACGAGAUUGUGGAGGCUUCACGAACUCUGAAACUUUGCUCACGAGUUGCAAGCAAAGCUGUGAGUUUUCCAAAGGUUAUUUGGCCAGAAGAGGAUGUCAGCACACAGAAGAAGAGACCACCACUGCUGGCCUUUCCAGUUCCAGCCGGACACCGCGGAGCACUGUUGACAACCGUGCAGGGCUCAUUCUCCUUCACAGAGAGGGGGCCGGGUGCGCCUCCCAGCCCAGGCCCCCAGGAGGCUCUGAGAGGGCAGAGGGGAGGGCCUUCUAAUAAGGCAUAAGCUGCUGGAAAGACAAACUCAAGCGCAAGCUGGGAGGAUCUCACUAGACCUACAAAAGUGGAAGGAAGCUGGCCGGGUGCCUGGCGCUGUGUGACCUACGCAACGAAAGGCAAGCUGAUCUUAGAAUGCUCAAAGAGGAGCAACUCUCCCAUGACCCUGUCCGUUUACACCAGAGAAGAGCAGAUAUGUCAUUCUGCUGCCAGGGCUGAGGAGGGGCAGUUUGCAUCAGGAGCAGACAAGUGGGUGCAACAGACUCUGAUUGCAAAAGUAGAGAAGAUCUCUCUGGAAGGAAACCUCCCAAUGUUUUCACCACGAGCUGUCAUGAAGAGAGACCUUGUGAAGCUCCACUCCAGCUUAGCUGCUUGCAAGGACAUCCCAGUUUCCAGGCACCAAAGUCUGGUAAAGCAGUCACUCAGCCUUCGGCUCCAGGCAGCCCCCUCAGGGAUGUUCUACUUGCUCUUCCACCCUUGGAGGCCGGGCUACCACUGUGUUCCGAAAACUGAUGAGCAUCCAGCGGGCAGCUCGCAGUCAGCUCCCCAGGCUGAUACUGGUUCCCUGGGUGAAGCGUGCCCGUGGGAAGACCCUCUACCUCUCCAGACACUUGGAUAAAGCAGUGGUCAAUGAGAGAUGGUGGCUUCCACCCAUUCUCUCAGUGAUGUCUGGGUUCGGAAGGCCUCCAGGUUCAACCAUCUGCAAAGGAACAAAAUGAAAAUUCAUUUUCCACAUGGUGAAAUGAAUGUCAUUCUUAUUUUAGUUUGUCAUAGAAAUCUUCUCUUUACCGCAAGAACUAUUCUUCAACUUAAACUGAAAUUGGAGAAUGCAUAUGGGCUACCUAUAAGUGGUUGAAUGCAAUUUUUUUA
RNAcentral lists this long non-coding RNA (1803 nucleotides) under Equus caballus (horse). RNAcentral's name for it is "lncRNA (ENSECAG00000038125.3)". Lineage: Eukaryota; Metazoa; Chordata; Mammalia; Perissodactyla; Equidae. The record is from RNAcentral.